CCUACGGGUGGCAGCAGUGGGGAAUCUUGCACAAUGGGCGAAAGCCUGAUGCAGCGACGCCGCGUGCGGGAUGAAGGCCUUCGGGUUGUAAACCGCUUUCAGCAGGGACGAGGCGAAAGUGACGGUACCUGCAGAAGAAGCCCCGGCUAACUACGUGCCAGCAGCCGCGGUAAUACGUAGGGGGCAAGCGUUAUCCGGAUUCAUUGGGCGUAAAGCGCUCGUAGGCGGUCUGUUAGGUCGGGAGUUAAAUCCGGGGGCUCAACCCCCGUUCGCUCCCGAUACCGGCAGACUUGAGUUUGGUAGGGGAAGGUGGAAUUCCUAGUGUAGCGGUGGAAUGCGCAGAUAUUAGGAAGAACACCAGUGGCGAAGGCGGCCUUCUGGGCCAUAACUGACGCUGAGGAGCGAAAGCUAGGGGAGCAAACAGGAUUAGAUACCCCGGU
Molecule: ribosomal RNA, 440 nt
Filed under: uncultured bacterium
Lineage: Bacteria
Description: bacterial SSU rRNA
Rfam family: Bacterial small subunit ribosomal RNA
Source: RNAcentral